UCCGCGUCCCAUCAGCUAGUUGGUGAGGUAAUGGCUCACCAAGGCGAAGACGGGUAGCUGGUCUGAGAGGAUGAUCAGCCACACUGGAACUGAGACACGGUCCAGACUCCUACGGGAGGCAGCAGUGGGGAAUAUUGCGCAAUGGGCGAAAGCCUGACGCAGCCACGCCGCGUGAGCGAUGAAGGUCUUCGGAUCGUAAAGCUCUGUGGGGGGAGAAGAAGAAAGUCGGUGAAGAGCCGGCCCUGACGGUAUCCCCUUAGCAAGCACCGGCUAACUCCGUGCCAGCAGCCGCGGUAAUACGGAGGGUGCAAACGUUGCUCGGAAUCAUUGGGCGUAAAGCGCGCGUAGGCGGCUGAACAAGUUGGAUGUGAAAGCCCUGGGCUCAACCUAGGAUGUGCAUUCAAAACUGUUCGGCUUGAGUCUCGGAGGGGGUCAGAGAAUUCUCGGUGUAGAGGUGAAAUUCGUAGAUAUCGGGAGGAACACCAGUGGCG
This 491-nucleotide ribosomal RNA is filed under the name uncultured bacterium. RNAcentral's name for it is "bacterial SSU rRNA". It matches the Rfam family "Bacterial small subunit ribosomal RNA", at positions 230 to 717 of the family's 1533-position model. The record is from RNAcentral.